CGAAGGGAGACGUAGGCCAGACCUUCACAUUUUCGGACGUCUCGGUCCUCGCCUUUUUGUGAACUCCUCGAGUGUAUAAUCGAACAGUCUUGCCGCCGCUUCAGCUGCUACCCCUAGUUUUAAGUCACUAGAAUCUACGAGCCGGUGAAGCUUUGUGUUGUUUGUGUGAUGUCCUGAAUCAGCUAGAAGUGAUUUUCUUUUUCUUUUGUAUCAAAUGAAACUUGAAAGGAUCUUUUGAUAUUUAGAUGAUGUUCAUUUACUCAGUGGCGAUUGUACCUGGUUAAAUCACAACGAGUCUAGGGCGGCUCAGUUUACUUUC
This 319-nucleotide long non-coding RNA is filed under the name Hordeum vulgare. Its description in RNAcentral is "long non-coding RNA (HVUL_LNC021486)". Lineage: Eukaryota; Viridiplantae; Streptophyta; Magnoliopsida; Poales; Poaceae. The record is from RNAcentral.